CGUCAGCUGAUCGAGCGGGCGGCGGCGCCGGUAUUUGCCCACUCCCGGUGCAAGGUUGCGGGCCAAGAGCCACGGCGAUGUGCCUGUACGACGACAAAACGCACUGGCCCGGUGUUUCCGGAUUCAUUGGCGCAAAUAGGGGUUGGAAUUUAGCCCCACCCCUAAUCCACAAAAGUGUCGUGAUACGUUUCAUUUUGACAGUUCAGCAGGAUGUCACACGUAUUACGCCGUGUUCAUAAUAUUAUAAUAAUGCAUUACCACACGAAGUCGACGAUCAUUUUUUAAUUCGUUAACGCCAAAUGCGAAUUAACAAUCAAUAUAAGGGCGAUUUCAAACAAUAUACCGACCGCCGCCGCCGCCGCUACUGCGAUAGUCUUUGCAACUGCGUAUCUGUACACAGCCGCCGCUGCCACCAGAAUCGACGACGAAGACGACUUCACACACAGAUACACGCACUCACUCGUGUGUAAGUACACAAGCGUUCUGCUUGGAAUCAUCUAGCGAAAAAAACAGACGUCGGGGACAAAAAAAAAUUUAUGUAUAAAUGAUAAAAAAAAAAAUACCCAAACAAAACACACACAACCU
Myzus persicae (green peach aphid) is the source of this 585-nucleotide long non-coding RNA. RefSeq lists it as uncharacterized. The transcript has 3 exons. The record is from RefSeq and is a predicted model, not a curated record. Lineage: Eukaryota; Metazoa; Arthropoda; Insecta; Hemiptera; Aphididae.